Molecule: non-coding RNA, 75 nt
Organism: Gymnothorax javanicus (giant moray)
Lineage: Eukaryota; Metazoa; Chordata; Actinopteri; Anguilliformes; Muraenidae
Source: the annotation of a GenBank genome assembly
GUCGCGGUAGCGCAGUGGUUAAGUGUACUUGACUUGGGACCAAAAAGGUCCUAAGUUUGAGUCCUGGCUGCAGCC